CCUACGCGUGGCAGCAGUGGGGAAUAUUGCACAAUGGGCGAAAGCCUGAUGCAGCAACGCCGCGUGAGCGAUGAAGGCCUUCGGGUCGUAACGCUCUGUCCUCAAGGAAGAACAUGCCGGUAACUGAUGAGUAAGCCCCGGCUAACUACGUGCCAGAAGCCGCGGUAAUACGUAGGGGGCUAGCUUUAUCCGGACUGACUGGUCGUAAAGGGUGCGUAGGGGGUUUCGUGAGGCAGGGGUGAAAGGCUACGGUGAAACCGUAGUAAGCCUUUGAAACUGGGGAACUUGAGUGCAGGAGAGGAGAGUGGAAUUCCUAGUGUAGCGGUGAAAUGCGAAGAUAUUAGGAGGAACACCAGUUGCGAAGGCGGCUCUCUGGACUGUAACUGACACUGAGGCACGAAAGCGUGGGGAGCAAACAGGAUUAGAUACCCGGGUAGUC
RNAcentral lists this ribosomal RNA (439 nucleotides) under uncultured bacterium. Its description in RNAcentral is "partial 16S ribosomal RNA". It matches the Rfam family "Bacterial small subunit ribosomal RNA", at positions 338 to 795 of the family's 1533-position model. The record is from RNAcentral.